CUCUCUGUGACUCCUACGGGAGGCAGCAGUGGGGAAUAUUGGACAAUGGGCGCAAGCCUGAUCCAGCCAUGCCGCGUGAGUGAUGAAGGCCCUAGGGUUGUAAAGCUCUUUUGUGCGGGAAGAUAAUGACGGUACCGCAAGAAUAAGCCCCGGCUAACUUCGUGCCAGCAGCCGCGGUAAUACGAAGGGGCUAGCGUUGCUCGGAAUCACUGGGCGUAAAGGGUGCGUAGGCGGGGUCUUUAAGUCAGGGGUGAAAUCCUGGAGCUCAACUCCAGAACUGCCUUUGAUACUGAAGAUCUUGAGUUCGGGAGAGGUGAGUGGAACUGCGAGUGUAGAGGUGAAAUUCGUAGAUAUUCGCAAGAACACCAGUGGCGAAGGCGGCUCACUGGCCCGAUACUGACGCUGAGGCACGAAAGCGUGGGGAGCAAACAGGAUUAGAUACCCUGGUAG
This 450-nucleotide ribosomal RNA is filed under the name uncultured bacterium. Its description in RNAcentral is "bacterial SSU rRNA". It matches the Rfam family "Bacterial small subunit ribosomal RNA", at positions 326 to 793 of the family's 1533-position model. The record is from RNAcentral.